GACGAACGCUGGCGGCGUGCCUAAUACAUGCAAGUCGAGCGGACAGAAGGGAGCUUGCUCCCGGAUGUUAGCGGCGGACGGGUGAGUAACACGUGGGUAACCUGCCUGUAAGACUGGGAUAACUCCGGGAAACCGGAGCUAAUACCGGAUAGUUCCUUGAACCGCAUGGUUCAAGGAUGAAAGACGGUUUCGGCUGUCACUUACAGAUGGACCCGCGGCGCAUUAGCUAGUUGGUGGGGUAAUGGCUCACCAAGGCGACGAUGCGUAGCCGACCUGAGAGGGUGAUCGGCCACACUGGGACUGAGACACGGCCCAGACUCCUACGGGAGGCAGCAGUAGGGAAUCUUCCGCAAUGGACGAAAGUCUGACGGAGCAACGCCGCGUGAGUGAUGAAGGUUUUCGGAUCGUAAAGCUCUGUUGUUAGGGAAGAACAAGUGCGAGAGUAACUGCUCGCACCUUGACGGUACCUAACCAGAAAGCCACGGCUAACUACGUGCC
RNAcentral lists this ribosomal RNA (498 nucleotides) under uncultured bacterium. Its description in RNAcentral is "bacterial SSU rRNA". It matches the Rfam family "Bacterial small subunit ribosomal RNA", at positions 28 to 509 of the family's 1533-position model. The record is from RNAcentral.